This 3980-nucleotide long non-coding RNA is filed under the name Coffea arabica (coffee). RNAcentral's name for it is "long non-coding RNA (CARA_LNC003346)". Lineage: Eukaryota; Viridiplantae; Streptophyta; Magnoliopsida; Gentianales; Rubiaceae. The record is from RNAcentral.
ACUUUUUUUUUUUUUUUUUCCUGUAGGUCUCUCUCUCGGCCUCACCUUUGAUGCUGAAACGCCAAAUAAAGUCCCAUCACAUCCUUCCAAAUUAAAAUCAGGUUUUUGCUUUGGGACAGCAAUUUCAACUUGUCUUUCAGAGCCAAAAAAAAACUACUUGAUUGCAUUUUGAAGAAGCUGCUUUGUCUGGAUUGCAAUUUUUUGGAUUUUUUUUUUUUGUAAAAAAAUUACUGUAGCGAUUUGAUAUACGUGAGGUAAAAAGGUGAUUGAAAAAUAUAUUCACGGAAAACUCAGCAAAGUUGCGGCUUCACAAAUUUUCUAUUGCCGGAAUUCUCAAUUACUUUGGAGAGACCUCGUUUUUCAAAGAAUGAAGGAUGAAUUCGUUGUGGGAGGUAAAUGAAACAACUUCAAGUAAGUAACACGGUACUGUAAUUAGCUCUCCUGAGAAUGAAAUGACCCAAAAAAAAUUAAAAAAAUAAAGAAGAAGAUGAAGAUGAUGAAAUUGAAACACGCAUGUCUAUAUAUGAUUAAUUAAUUUUGUCAACGGUAAUAAAAUAAAUAUUAUUUAUUGUGAAUGAAGGUGUAGUAUUCGAGAGCACAAAAUUUUGUUUAGAGAAUAAUUCCAUUGACCGCACAAUUAUUUGCUACAAAAUUAAUGUUGGCGCGCGCGCACACACACAUAUAUAUAUUUUGAAAAUGAAUAAUAUGUGAAGAAGGAUGGAUGGGGAGCCAGGGGAGGGCAGGGCAGGAACAUGAUGGAUGGUAUAUUUUGAAAGCAAGAAAUAAAUGGAGGUCCUACUUUGCAUUAUUUAGUGAUGUGCUACUAUAAUAAGCUAAUACAAAGGACAAAGAAUGGCUUUUGUACCCAAGAGGAAUGGAAUGGCGGGGGAAUCCAUUCCACACCUAUUCAUUAGCUUACUCAAUACAAACUACUACAUCUGUGUACUAGUAAUAAAUACUACCGUUGAUUCCCUUGCGAUAGCUCAAAAUACACAAUAAUUAAUAACUAUCCUGCGUAUGCAUCCCCAUUGACAUAAGAAGAAUUUUUUUUUGUUUUGUUUUGUUUUGUUUUGUUGUUGGGUCAAAUAUUGACAUAAGAAAUGGUAAACACCUAUCCAUGCGUUCCACUUUCAUAUAUACCAUUUUUUUUUUCUAACAUAUGUAUAUAUAUAUAUAUUUAAAAUAAUAAUUAAAAAAAAAACACAACCAUUUUUCAAUCUGUCAGCUAAACUACUUUCGGGGAAAAAUAGCUGUAGCAAUAGUUUUCCCCACAGGUCAACUUAUGAUUAAAUCGUCAGCUAAAGAUGAUGCUGAAGUAGGUCUUGCCUGUCAUCAAAAUUUUUUUUUUUAAUCUUUCCUAAGAGUUCCCUUUUUUUUUUUUUUUCCAAUAAAGAUAGAUUCUUAAAUACUAGUAGUAGUAGUAUAAAAUGAGAGUUGGCUUCUGCAAAUAACGAGACGAGCUCUCAACCCAAAUAAACUGACAGCACCAACGGAACUACAAUACACUACACAACGAUCGAAUGGCCCUCCUAAACAGUAUACAACACAGAUGAGGGGUGCUGCAUGCAUCUCAUUCAUAAAAAUGAUACUCAAAAGAGUGGGGUCGGAUCCGGAGCCGGACCCCCACUGCCCCAUGAUGGAAUUGGACUACUACUAUACCCUAUUUGUCCCUGCUUGUCACCAUGUUUGGAACUCUAAACCUAACGAUAACAAAAGAAAAAGGAAAAAAAAUUUUUGAAAGUAAGUAAAAUCCUAUAAUCACUCGACUAAUGAGCAAAUAAUACCCUAAUAAUACCAGUUUGACUCAUCAUUCUUCUUCCUAUAGUAUAGAUAUAGAUAGAUUGAGCAGAUUAGCUAGGUACCCUAUUGCUUUUUCUCUUCAGUGACAUUUUGAGUUACCGAGCGAUGCACAUCGCAGACUGACCAACAUCAACUCGAAUACGCCUAUAGCCCAAGAUGUUCCAUUUUUGUUUUCGGUCGCUCAAAUUUGAAGAAAGAUUGUACCAUCCAGGGCUCUGACAGUCCGCUGCUACACAGACAAUCUCAUUCACCACCCUCAUAAGAAAGCUACGUUCCAUUUUUUACCUUCUAGCUACUCCCAGACUCUAUUCAAAAACUCCAGAGACCGAUGUGCUGGACCCCCGCCCCGCAUUGGAAAAGGAGGGGGGGGGGGGGUAUUACAGAAGGGAAAGGUGCUUGAACCCAAAACGGCAAAACCAUUUCAGCUAAUCACGAAUUACAUUAAAAAAGAAAAAUAAAUGCCUAGGCUUUCCCUAAUUUAUUUCCUGAAGGGAAAUAGGCUAGAGGUCCACUUUAAAUACGCACCCAGAAAAUCAACAUAGGACAAACUAGUUCGCUUUAUGAAACAUCUCCCCAGACGAGUAAUCACCAAAAUCUGAAUCUUCAUCCCGGUUACAAAUUUCAUCGACUCAAAAUCAAUGUCAGUAACAUGAUGCUUACUAGUUGUUUAAAAGGGGGAGAAGAAAUGCAUGAUUGAGCACAGCCUUAGAUUACAAAUAAGCUGCUUAAAUUGAGCCAGAUCCAAGGCCAGCUUGAAACACAAAUGGCUUAGAAAUCAAAAGCACUCUCUGUUACCAAUCAGUAAACACUCCUGUGCCAAUAAACAUUAUCAGUAUGAAGAAAGCUUAAUUGGCAUUUUCCUUUCUUGAAGAAAGGAAAUGGAAUCUCAGAGACGUAAAGACAAUCUCAACACCAAUCACGUUAUCUAAACAACAUCAAACCCUUCAAAGAAACCCAAGAAUCAUAAAAAGCACUGAGUACAAGUGUGUACAAGAAGUUUGCAAAAUGAGAAUUAGACAGAUGGCACAUUGCACAGACAAAAAAAAAAACAGUGAGGUGAAACAGCAAUAUUGAACAUAAAGCAUGAGAUGAGAAACAUGCACUGACAUUUCGUGGAUGAUACUUAUUUAUUCAACAUAAGCAAUAUACUAAUCUCUAAUGUUCAAUAACAUCUUGAGAGAUGCAAUUCUGCAGUGGACCUAGCUAGCCCAGGUAGCCACUCUAGUGCAUCAACCAAAUCAUGAAUUGGGUCCCCAUGUGAAUAUUCAUUGAUCCCUGUAUAAAGCAUGGUUUACAUAUGCACUUACAGUACCAGAAACUGAAGACAAACAAUUUCAAAUCCUCAGCCAGAAUCUCAAAAUCUACCUUACUGGACAAAAGUUUUGCCGUUCUGUAACAACAUCAUGGUCAGUCAUUUUCCGAAUAACCACUGUCUUAUUGAUAAACGUUUAUACCAUCGACAACAUACACACAGAGCAGAGCAUCUUGUCUCAAGAGAGCAGGAAACUGACAAAAAAAAAGAUGCUAAUUCUUGGGGCAUAAUUCAACUUCAGGACCACAAAACAUGUAAAAAUAGAAGCACUCCUCAACACAGGAUCGGUUAUGGUUCCAUAUUGCCAGAAAUGCAGGCAUCAGUCAAUGCGAGCUCUAGAACUUGCCAACUGAGAUAUCUAAAUGUCAUUUGAGGGCUACCAAGAGAGUGUGUAAACUUUUUUUUAGCCAAUUAAACCACUUUCAUGAAUGAUGCACGAAGAAUGGGGUGACAAUACAAGCAUUAAGGAUGUGGGUACAAUGACUAUGCACCCUUAAUACGGUUAAGUUGCCAACACUCCACCUUCUUACUAACUAGAGAGAGAGAGCGUAAAAUCAUCAACAUGAGUAAUACCUAAUAAUUAUUCAAACGAAUAACCCACCAAUAAAAUAGGCAAUAGGAAUUCAGCCCACGAGCCAAACGAGCAUGAUGACAAUUUUCAGGAAAUGAUAAUUCUAAAACAGGGAGUAGUAUUUAUCAGAAUACAAGAGUUUCAGGGAAAUUAAAAAACCAAAACUGAGUACUGCAAAGCAAACAAAAUCAUUCACGAGCAGAGCCGAGCAGAGCAGGGAAAUGCUUUAAAUAACUUCUAGAUAGAUAACAAUUCUGCUCAAGUCCUAUCAAAAUAAGCAACGAUGUAUAAAGAAAG